GACGAACCGUGCGAACGUUGUUCGGAAUCACUGGGCUUAAAGGGCGCGUAGGCGGGCACAAAAGUCAGAGGUGAAAGCCCCCGGCUCAACCGGGGAAGUGCCUUUGAUACUGUGUGUCUCGAGGGGGAUAGGGGCGUGCGGAACUUCCGGUGGAGCGGUGAAAUGCGUAGAUAUCGGAAGGAACACCGGUGGCGAAAGCGGCGCGCUGGAUCCCUUCUGACGCUGAGGCGCGAAAGCCAGGGGAGCGAACGGG
RNAcentral lists this ribosomal RNA (253 nucleotides) under uncultured bacterium. RNAcentral's name for it is "partial 16S ribosomal RNA". It matches the Rfam family "Bacterial small subunit ribosomal RNA", at positions 524 to 776 of the family's 1533-position model. The record is from RNAcentral.